This 424-nucleotide ribosomal RNA is filed under the name uncultured bacterium. RNAcentral describes it as "bacterial SSU rRNA". It matches the Rfam family "Bacterial small subunit ribosomal RNA", at positions 355 to 770 of the family's 1533-position model. The record is from RNAcentral.
UGGGGAAUAUUUGGACAAUGGGCGCAAGCCUGAUCCAGCCAUACCGCGUGGGUGAAGAAGGCCUUCGGGUUGUAAAGCCCUUUUGUUGGGAAAGAAAUCCAGCUGGCUAAUACCCGGUUGGGAUGACGGUACCCAAAGAAUAAGCACCGGCUAACUUCGUGCCAGCAGCCGCGGUAAUACGAAGGGUGCAAGCGUUACUCGGAAUUACUGGGCGUAAAGCGUGCGUAGGUGGUCGUUUAAGUCCGUUGUGAAAGCCCUGGGCUCAACCUGGGAACUGCAGUGGAUACUGGGCGACUAGAGUGUGGUAGAGGGUAGCGGAAUUCCUGGUGUAGCAGUGAAAUGCGUAGAGAUCAGGAGGAACAUCCAUGGCGAAGGCAGCUACCUGGACCAACACUGACACUGAGGCACGAAAGCGUGGGGAGCA